Molecule: long non-coding RNA, 4237 nt
Filed under: Heterocephalus glaber (naked mole-rat)
Lineage: Eukaryota; Metazoa; Chordata; Mammalia; Rodentia; Bathyergidae
Description: lncRNA (ENSHGLG00100049109.1)
Source: RNAcentral
GGGAAAGGUGAUGUGAGGCUCCAAGACAAAACCUAAAAAGAAAUAGUUCCCAAGUAACUUAAGUGCAUCAGAAUAAAGUUCAAGAAUAUCAAUAGGAUUCAAAAUAUAUUCGGCACUCAAAAAGUUAAAUUUCACAAAUUAUAUUUUCGCUGUUGGGUUUUCGGUUUUGCUUUUUUUUUGGUACCAGGGACUGAACUCAGGACCUCAUGCUUGCCAGGCAGGUACUGUGCUGCUGAGCUACAUCCUGGGCCCUCACAAAUUAUAUUUUAUAGCUUAACUUACACAUAAGCAUGUAAAAUAGAGACAAGGAAACUAUAUAAACAACUUAAAUUUAAUUGCAAAAUACAGUAUCUGAGGGUAUUUCUCAAGAUAUGCUGAUGAGAUUAACAGACAAGAAACUACAGUCACAUGCUAUUAAUGACAUUUUCAUCAAUAAUAAACCACAUAUACAGUGGUAGUCCCACAACAGUAUUGUGAGUACAUUCAACAAAAAUAACCAGACACAUUUCUCAGAAUACAGCCUCAUCAUUAAAUGACACUUAACUGUACAGAAUAUUAGUAAACUCAGAGAUAGAACAUGAGUAUCCAAAAAGAAAGAAAAAAGCUUUUAAGAAAAAUGAACAGAGUACCAGUGAGUUAUAGUACACAACUCCAGAUAACUGUACACAAAACCAAAGUCCAUAAAGUGGAGAAAAACAUGUAAUGAUUAGAAAUUUUUCAAACUUAAUACAAACAGACCCAACAAGUUUAAGAAAGAAGAAAUAUCACUAAAUGGGCUGGGGAUUUAGCUCAGUGGUUCAUGGAAUUAAAAAAAAAAAAUGUAAAAAGUGGCUACAGGAUAAAAGCAACAUUUAGAACAAGAAUGAUAGCCGACAUCUUUAUGGAAACAAAGUAACUCACAAUUCAAUGGCAUCAUACAUUUAAAGUAUAGAAAGAAAAACAAUCAAUGUAGAAUUGUACAGCCAAGAAAAUAUUUUUAAAAUAUUAAAACUGAAACAAAAACUUAUUCAGCAUGCAAUAAUGAUGGAAUCCAUAACCAGCAGACCUCCAAGAAACAGUACAAAGUUAGUUGAAAUCUGGAUCUACAUAAAAGUAAAGAAUACCGGCAAUUCUAAAUCUUUGGGUUCAUGAGAUACUUUUAUCUUCUUUAAAAUACAACUACUAGGGCUAGAGGUUUAACAGUUAAGUGAUGGAGCAUAACCAGUAUGCAUGAGGCCCUGGGUUCGAUCAAAAAGGAAAAAUACAAGAAUUUAAACAAAACCAAUAUACCCAAUAUAAUGUGGGCAUUUUAACGCAUCUUAAAUGUGACAAAAAAAAAUAGCACAAACUUGGGAGAGGAAAAGAAUGCUAUUAUAAGGUUCUUAUACUAUUUUACUCAAAAUUGGACAAAAUUAACUUUAAAAAGUACAUACAGGGGCUGGGGAUUUAGCUUAGUGGUUCCAUCGCCUGCCUCGCAAGCGCAAGGUCCCAAGUUCGAUCCCCAGUAUCAAAAACAAAAACAAAACAAAAAAUAUAUACACACAAAGCUCUAAAACUACUUGAAAAUUAAAGAAUUAUAGCUAGUAUUCAGCAAAGAAAAUAAAAUGAAAUAUAUAAUGAAAAGUACUCAAUUUGUUCAAAAGAAUAUACAGAGGAAAGAGGGAACAAAAACAGAAAAGAGAAAGGACAAAUAACAAGAUGGCAGGUUUAAACCCAGGAACAUCAAUAAUUACAUUCAGCCAGCAUGGUGGCAUAUGCCUUUAAUCCCAGAACUAUGGGAGGGUAAAGCAGGGGGAUCCCAAAUUCAAGGCCACCCUGGUCAAUUUGGCAACAUAGCAAGACUAUCUCAAAUUUAAAAACACUGUUAGGGCUGAGGAUGUAGCCCAGCUCAGUGCAAAGGUCCUGGGUUCAAUAUUUACUGCUGGAAGAAAAAAAAGACAUUCAAUGUAACUGAUCUAGACACUUCAACUAAAAUGCAGAAAUUUUCACAAUGGAAAAAAAUAUUAGCAAGACCAAAGUAUAUGUUGCCCAGUUUGGAAUAAAAAUAUCAUGCUAAUGCUAAAAAAAUAAAAAAUUAAAAUUAAAAAGCUUUAACUGAUAAUAUUAAAACGAUGUCAAUGCAAAGAACAUUACCAGAAAUAAAAAAGUGUAAUUUAAUAAUGGCAAGUCAACUGAAUAGGAUAUACAGCCUUAAAUAUUUAUAAACCUAAUAAAAAAGCUUAAAUAAGUAAAGCAAAAACAGAGAACUAAAAGAAAAAUAGACAAAUCUGUAAUUGGUUAGAGAUUUCAAGACCGCUUUCAUUAAUUGACAGAAAAAUGAAACAAAACCAGUGAAGAAUAGAAGACAGAGGAUACAUUCUUUUAAAAGUGCACAUGGAACACUUAUUAAAGUAGAUUAUUUGUAGGCCAGAAAACAGAAUUUAAAUGAAUCAAAUCACACAAAAUAUGCUCCAAACCCCAAUGGAAUUCAGUUAAAAAUCAGUAACAGAAAGAUCUUUAGAAAUUCCCAAAGGCCAGGGAUUUAGCUCAGUGGUUCCACCAUAUGCCUCGCAAGCACAAGGUCCCAAGUUCAAUCCCCAGUACCCAAAAAAAAGGAAACUCCCAAAUAUUUGGAUACUAAAUAACACUUAUUUAAAUAACCCAUGGGUCAAAGUCAAAACGUAAGGGAAAAUCAUAAAAAAUUUGAGAUAAACGAAAAUGAAGACACAACAUAUCAAAAUUUGUUAGAAUGGAGGUAAAGCAGGGCUGAAAGGAAAAUUCACAGUACUCAAAAGCCUGUACUAGAAGAGAAAGGUCUUAAGUAAUGACAACUCCUGCUCCCAUUAUAAACUAGGGGGAAAAAAAAGAGCAAACAAAACCCCAGAUAAGCAGAAGAUGUAAUAAAGAGCAAAAAUCAGUAAAAUAAAAAUUAAAAAUGAAAGCAAAAUCUGAUUAUAUGAGAAAAUCAAAUACACUGAUAAUCGUAUUAGACUGACCCAGAUUAAAAAAAAGACACAAGUUAAUAAUACUCAGGAAAUUACCACAGAUCUUACAUGUUGAGAGAUAAGGGAGUAUUAUGAACAACUUCACACCAUUAAAUUCAACAAAUUCCUUUAAAAACACACAACACUCAAACUCACUUCAGAAUAAAUAUAGCUGAACACUGCAGUGGCAGAAACCUAUAAUUCCAUUAUUCAGGAGUCUGAGGCAGGAAGAUCACAUGUUUGAGGCCAGCUUGGGCAACCGAAACUAAGCAAAAUGUUAAUAAGGGAGGAGGGUUGGGAUGCAGCUCAGUGGCAGAGCGCUUGCCUAGCAUACACAAAGCCUGGGUUUAAUUUCCAGUACCACAAAAACUUUAAACAAGAAACAAACCCUAACUCUACUUUUAAUAUUGAAAUUACAACACAGCACAUUCCAAGAUAAGAUUGGCUUUAUUGGAGAAUUUUGCCUGAAAAUGUGACAAAAUUCCUUCAGAAAACUAAAGAUGAGGGAAUGCUGUCCAAUUCACGUUAUCAGGUAUUACCUUUCUAUCAAAAGAAGGAAAACAACAGACCAAUUAAGUUUAAGUAGCAACAUGUUGAAUAUGAAAAGGAGUAGGCUACAGAACAGACGAAAAGGAAAAGCACUUAACUCUAAUACUGUAAUUAUCUUUCUGCCAAGAGUGAUUUUAUCCCACAUAACUACAAUCAUGACUGAAUAAGCACGCAUUAAAGAUACUGCAGAGGAAAUGCACAAUUCGGAGGACUUAGCAAAGCCGUUCAAGGUGAGGUUGAGUCAGGUCAACAUGUGCAAUGAGGAACAAGAAAGAUGUAGUGCUGGUGAAAACAAUGAGUAUCAGGGCAUAUAUUCAGAAUUGUUAACUGAGUGCUUUGUCUGGAACUGGAACAGGAUGAGUUUACGGUGCUGGUAAGAUAUCCAACAUAGUAACAGCUAAUAUUUAGUAAGGUCUGUCAGAUAAAUGGAAAUGCAAGAUGAGUUCAAGAGAAGGAAAUGCAGAAGUAGAGUUCAUGCCUAUAUAACCGAUUGCAUUUACCAACUCUUGUUUUACUACAGCUAUACUACAUUAAGAGAGUAGCAGAAUUUUUUAAAGACUUAACUCCUUUCAGGGAACUUUAGGAUGUUUAUUCCAAGGUAAGAAAGUGUUAAUUACAAAAAUGAAACGUACUAUAAUUAUAGUCCUUGAUUAUGACCAAAUAAUCCUUCAAAGAUAAUGCAACUUUUUAAGAUUCUGGGUGGAUGUCUAUUAUCAAAAGCUGCUGCUACAACCUGGCACCCUUCC